AAAUAGAUACCCUGGUAGUCCACGCCGUAAACGAUGUUGACUUGGAGGUUGUUCCCUUGAGGAGUGGCUUCCGGAGCUAACGCGUUAAGUCGACCGCCUGGGGAGUACGGCCGCAAGGUUAAAACUCAAAUGAAUUGACGGGGGCCCGCACAAGCGGUGGAGCAUGUGGUUUAAUUCGAUGCAACGCGAAGAACCUUACCUACUCUUGACAUCCAGAGAACUUAGCAGAGAUGCUUUGGUGCCUUCGGGAACUCUGAGACAGGUGCUGCAUGGCUGUCGUCAGCUCGUGUUGUGAAAUGUUGGGUUAAGUCCCGCAACGAGCGCAACCCUUAUCCUUUGUUGCCAGCGGUUCGGCCGGGAACUCAAAGGAGACUGCCAGUGAUAAACUGGAGGAAGGUGGGGAUGACGUCAAGUCAUCAUGGCCCUUACGGAGUAGGGUUACCACACGUGCUACAAUGGCGUAUACAAAGAGAAGCGACCUCGCGAGAGCAAGCGGACCUCAUAAAGUACGUCGUAGUCCGGAUUGGAGU
Molecule: ribosomal RNA, 530 nt
Filed under: uncultured bacterium
Lineage: Bacteria
Description: bacterial SSU rRNA
Rfam family: Bacterial small subunit ribosomal RNA
Source: RNAcentral